Molecule: microRNA, 24 nt
Filed under: Oryza sativa (Asian cultivated rice)
Lineage: Eukaryota; Viridiplantae; Streptophyta; Magnoliopsida; Poales; Poaceae
Also listed under: 1 other name
Description: osa-miR1881
Source: miRBase by way of RNAcentral
AAUGUUAUUGUAGCGUGGUGGUGU